GUGCCCGUGGUCUAGCUGGCAUGACGUCGCCUUGACGCGGCGAAGGUCCUGAGUUCGAAUCUCAGCGGGCCCA
This 73-nucleotide transfer RNA is filed under the name Methanomicrobia archaeon. RNAcentral's name for it is "tRNA-Val". It matches the Rfam family "tRNA". Rfam says of the family: Transfer RNA (tRNA) molecules are approximately 80 nucleotides in length. Their secondary structure includes four short double-helical elements and three loops (D, anti-codon, and T loops). Lineage: Archaea; Methanobacteriati; Methanobacteriota; Methanomicrobia. RNAcentral also lists the same sequence under 1 other name. The record is from RNAcentral.